Molecule: long non-coding RNA, 3303 nt
Organism: Symphalangus syndactylus (siamang)
Lineage: Eukaryota; Metazoa; Chordata; Mammalia; Primates; Hylobatidae
Source: RefSeq, a predicted model, not a curated record
AAACCUCCUCCUCCUCCUCCCCCGAAAGCCGCGACCGAGUGGCCCGGUCCGCGCGCGCAGCUCGCGCCCAGCCCUCUCCAGCCCGGGUGGCGGCGGCGGCGGCGGCGGCGGCGGCGGCGGAGGGGUGCGGCGGGGGAGGGGAGGAGGCCUGGCCCCGCGGUCGCAGCCGCCACCGCCCGCCCCGACCUCCCGGACCGCAGCGGGGCCACGGGCCCGAGCCCCGGAUUCGCGCUCCGGAUUCGCCUCGGCUCGGCCGCGCGUAUAUUUGCCUUCCCUCCAUGAUCUCCAACACUAUCCGAUAAAGUAGAAGCAACUGAGGUACCGUGAAAGAGAAAGGAGCUGGAGCUGAGAAAAAGCAGAGAGUCUUGCUUUGUCACCCAGGCUUGGAGUGCAGUGGCAUGAUCUCAGCUCACUGCAACAGCUGCCUCCCAGGCUCAAGCGACAAGCGAUCCUCCCACCUCAGCUUCUGGAGUAGCUGGGGCUACAAGCACAGGGGCCACCAUGCCCAGCUGUAGAUCUUCGAUUGAUCACUGUGAUAGAAACUGAAUAAUCCCAUACAAAAUGGCAAAAACCAAACUUUUUCCCAUUUGACAUUGCUUUUUAACAAUUUCUUAAUAGUUUUCUGUUGGCUGGCCAGCUAGGAGUAUCUUGCUUUUCAUCUGUUUUCAAGCCCCAGUUGUUCCAGCAGAAUUGCACACUUUUCCCAGCUGAUUAUCUAUCCGUUAGGUUAUAAAUUUGUCAUGGGAAAUGCUAACCCACACUAACUUCCUCUUACCCCUUCACUUGCUCUUGGGCCCUUUCACCAUCUAGCACUCCAGUCUGUAAAGGAAAAUAUUUUUUUUUUCUUUUCUUUUUUUUUUGGAGACGGAGUCUUGCCCUGUCACCCAGGCUGGAAUGCAGUGGUGUGAUCUCAGCUCACUGCAACCUCUGUCUCCCGGGUUCAAGCGAUUCUCCUGCCUUAGCCUUCCAAGUAGCUGGGAUUAUAGGAGCUCGCCACCAAGCCCGGCUAAUUUUUGUAUUUUUAGUAGGGACGGGGUUUCACCAUGUUGGCCAGGCUGGUCUCGAACUCCUGACCUGAAGUGAUCCACCCGCCUCGGCCUCCCAAAGUGUUGGGAUUAUAGGCAUGAGCCACCGCACUCGACUGAGAAUCAUUUUUAUUUCAGACUGAAUGAGAUAUAAUUUGUACAUUAAAAAUCAACUUAUUCUAUAUUCCAAAACUGUAGAACUCCUAAAAUGUAUCCCAGAGUCAAUAAUAAAGUUAUCUACUCACUUCAUUAGAGGAAGAGUUUGAGCUUUGGUGUCAGAAAGGCAGCACCUGGAAUCCAAGCUCUGCCACUUAAUAACUAUGACCCUGGGCAAGCUAUUUAUCCCUCAAGUCUCAGCUCUUUCGUCUGUAAAACGGUGUAUUAAUGCCUGUCUCAAAGAGUUGUGGUGAGGGUUAAAUGAGCUAACUUACAUAAAGCACUGGCUGUAAUAAGGUACUCAAUAAUUGGUAGCUGCAUUCUAAACCAUCAAGUUUACUGUUAGCCACUUCUCUCUUCAGAGAUUCACUUAAGAUGAUUGCAAGGUGAGAAGAUUCACAACCUGAGUUAUGAGCUUAAGCACCUUAAAAUCCUUUAGGAGCAAAGGACUGACUUUUGUUACUCUUCUUCCAGUAGUUGGCCCCAUUCCCUUGCUUUCCAUCACUGUAUAAAGAAGCUCAAUUCUGGCAUGAUAUGAAACAAAUCAUAUUUUACUUGACUCAAAAACUUCUCCUAAUGGAGGAAUAAACACUAUUGUUAGGUUGGAAACUGAAUGUUAGUCACAGAUACGGUCUAUAAUUUUCUAAUCAUGACAGAUGUUACCUGGAUGCUGAAAAAUGCCGAAUCUCAAAAUCCUGAGGGGAGGAUUCAUUACUAAAUAAAGAAUGGCUAGCACAAGGAAUGGGAAAGAAAACUAAGGUUUUCUGAGUGUCUUUUCCAAGGACUCUUUAUAGUGCUGGGCAGGUUCCCAUUCCUUAUUUAAUCUUCUCAACAACACUAUAAGGUAGCAUCUUUUUAGGGUGACCAUGUCCUGGGUCUUGCCUGUUGCCCUACUGUCAUCUUACUUUCUAUUAUCUGUAUUUUAUGGUUGAAGAAAUGGAAUCCAAAGGAAGGUAUUUAAAUAUUCUGUGCAUGGUUAUAAAGCCAGAACAUUCCUCCUUUCUGCAGUUAGAUUUCUUCUAAGAAUAUCCCAUGCAUACCUUGUCCAACUGCAGCCUGGCUUCUUUAACAAAGCCACCGUGACCUGCUGUUUGCUGAAUGCAUGGUCGCUCAGGUCUUCAUCUUACGUGACCUCUGUGCAGCACUUUAUACUGUUGGCCGCUCCCCUCUCUUCUGUGCUCUCUCUUUGGCUUCUGUGGCAACAUUUCCCGCUUGGCCUCUUUCACCCUCUAGCUCUUCCUUUGUGGUGUCCUUUUCUCCUCCCCAAACCUCUGUGUAGAUUACACUUCGCCCUUAAGGGGAUCUGAUCCUUGACUGGCUACAGCUGCUAUCUGCCAAUAAUUCCCACACCUAUAACGCUAGCCCAGAGCUGUCUUUCAGGAUCCAGUCCUAUAUAUCCAAUAAGAUUGGGACAUGUGCCUGCGUGCCCGAGUUACCUCAUACAGCUAACUAAAAAUUCAUCACUUUCCUUCCCAAAGUCCUCUUCCAGCAGUUCCUUUUUCUGCCAGCGGACUCACCAUCCUCCCAGUCAUCCAGGUGAGACACAGGUGUCAUCCUUGACUCCUCCCUUUGCCUUAGACCCCUACCCAAAUUAUCAAGUCCUGCAAUUCUCUCUUAACUUCAUUUCAUCUCCGAUCUCCACUGCCACUAACCUAGUUUUGGCUGCCUUUGGAUCUCAUCUGGACUACUGCAUUAGCGCCAGUCUCUCUCUCUCCACUUUCUCUCCCUCAUUUCCUUCUCUCUUGACAUUGUAGUCAAGUCACCUUUUGAAAAUGCAAAUCUGAUCAUGUGAUUCUCUUUAUAAAACCCUUAACUCUGGGCCAGGUGCAGUGGCUCAUGCCUGUAAUCCCAGCACUGUGGGAGGCCCAGACGGGCGGAUCAUGAGGUCAGGAGUUCAAGACCAGCCUGGCCAACAUGAUGAAACCCCGUCUCUACAAAAACUACAAAAAUUAGCCAGGUGUGGUGGUGCACGCCUGUAAUCCCAGCUACUCGGGAGGCUGAGGCAGGAUAAUUGCUUGAACCCGAGAGGCGAAGGUUGCAGUGAGCCAAGAUCAUGCCAUUACACUCCAGCCUGGGCAACAAGAGCAAGACUCCAUCUCAAAAACAAAACAAAAAACACUUA